This 253-nucleotide ribosomal RNA is filed under the name uncultured bacterium. RNAcentral describes it as "partial 16S ribosomal RNA". It matches the Rfam family "Bacterial small subunit ribosomal RNA", at positions 524 to 776 of the family's 1533-position model. The record is from RNAcentral.
UACGAAGGGGGCUAGCGUUGCUCGGAAUUACUGGGCGUAAAGCGCACGUAGGCGGUCUUUUAAGUCGGGGGUGAAAUCCUGGAGCUCAACUCCAGAACUGCCUUCGAUACUGAGGAUCUUGAGUUCGGGAGAGGUGAGUGGAACUGCGAGUGUAGAGGUGAAAUUCGUAGAUAUUCGCAAGAACACCAGUGGCGAAGGCGGCUCACUGGCCCGAUACUGACGCUGAGGCACGAAAGCGUGGGGAGCAAACAGG